Molecule: ribosomal RNA, 425 nt
Filed under: uncultured bacterium
Lineage: Bacteria
Description: partial 16S ribosomal RNA
Rfam family: Bacterial small subunit ribosomal RNA
Source: RNAcentral
GUGGGGAAUCUUGCGCAAUGGGCGAAAGCCUGACGCAGCCAUGCCGCGUGAAUGAUGAAGGUCUUAGGAUUGUAAAAUUCUUUCACCGGGGACGAUAAUGACGGUACCCGGAGAAGAAGCCCCGGCUAACUUCGUGCCAGCAGCCGCGGUAAUACGAAGGGGGCUAGCGUUGCUCGGAAUUACUGGGCGGAAAGGGAGCGUAGGCGGACAUUUAAGUCAGGGGUGAAAUCCCGGGGCUCAACCUCGGAAUUGCCUUUGAUACUGGGUGUCUUGAGUGUGAGAGAGGUAUGUGGAACUCCGAGUGUAGAGGUGAAAUUCGUAGAUAUUCGGAAGAACACCAGUGGCGAAGGCGACAUACUGGCUCAUUACUGACGCUGAGGCUCGAAAGCGUGGGGAGCAAACAGGAUUAGAAACCCUAGUAGUCC